Molecule: ribosomal RNA, 2904 nt
Filed under: Escherichia coli
Lineage: Bacteria; Pseudomonadati; Pseudomonadota; Gammaproteobacteria; Enterobacterales; Enterobacteriaceae
Description: 23S ribosomal RNA
Rfam family: Bacterial large subunit ribosomal RNA
Source: RNAcentral
GGUUAAGCGACUAAGCGUACACGGUGGAUGCCCUGGCAGUCAGAGGCGAUGAAGGACGUGCUAAUCUGCGAUAAGCGUCGGUAAGGUGAUAUGAACCGUUAUAACCGGCGAUUUCCGAAUGGGGAAACCCAGUGUGUUUCGACACACUAUCAUUAACUGAAUCCAUAGGUUAAUGAGGCGAACCGGGGGAACUGAAACAUCUAAGUACCCCGAGGAAAAGAAAUCAACCGAGAUUCCCCCAGUAGCGGCGAGCGAACGGGGAGCAGCCCAGAGCCUGAAUCAGUAUGUGUGUUAGUGGAAGCGUCUGGAAAGGCGCGCGAUACAGGGUGACAGCCCCGUACACAAAAAUGCACAUGCUGUGAGCUCGAUGAGUAGGGCGGGACACGUGGUAUCCUGUCUGAAUAUGGGGGGACCAUCCUCCAAGGCUAAAUACUCCUGACUGACCGAUAGUGAACCAGUACCGUGAGGGAAAGGCGAAAAGAACCCCGGCGAGGGGAGUGAAAAAGAACCUGAAACCGUGUACGUACAAGCAGUGGGAGCACGCUUAGGCGUGUGACUGCGUACCUUUUGUAUAAUGGGUCAGCGACUUAUAUUCUGUAGCAAGGUUAACCGAAUAGGGGAGCCGAAGGGAAACCGAGUCUUAACUGGGCGUUAAGUUGCAGGGUAUAGACCCGAAACCCGGUGAUCUAGCCAUGGGCAGGUUGAAGGUUGGGUAACACUAACUGGAGGACCGAACCGACUAAUGUUGAAAAAUUAGCGGAUGACUUGUGGCUGGGGGUGAAAGGCCAAUCAAACCGGGAGAUAGCUGGUUCUCCCCGAAAGCUAUUUAGGUAGCGCCUCGUGAAUUCAUCUCCGGGGGUAGAGCACUGUUUCGGCAAGGGGGUCAUCCCGACUUACCAACCCGAUGCAAACUGCGAAUACCGGAGAAUGUUAUCACGGGAGACACACGGCGGGUGCUAACGUCCGUCGUGAAGAGGGAAACAACCCAGACCGCCAGCUAAGGUCCCAAAGUCAUGGUUAAGUGGGAAACGAUGUGGGAAGGCCCAGACAGCCAGGAUGUUGGCUUAGAAGCAGCCAUCAUUUAAAGAAAGCGUAAUAGCUCACUGGUCGAGUCGGCCUGCGCGGAAGAUGUAACGGGGCUAAACCAUGCACCGAAGCUGCGGCAGCGACGCUUAUGCGUUGUUGGGUAGGGGAGCGUUCUGUAAGCCUGCGAAGGUGUGCUGUGAGGCAUGCUGGAGGUAUCAGAAGUGCGAAUGCUGACAUAAGUAACGAUAAAGCGGGUGAAAAGCCCGCUCGCCGGAAGACCAAGGGUUCCUGUCCAACGUUAAUCGGGGCAGGGUGAGUCGACCCCUAAGGCGAGGCCGAAAGGCGUAGUCGAUGGGAAACAGGUUAAUAUUCCUGUACUUGGUGUUACUGCGAAGGGGGGACGGAGAAGGCUAUGUUGGCCGGGCGACGGUUGUCCCGGUUUAAGCGUGUAGGCUGGUUUUCCAGGCAAAUCCGGAAAAUCAAGGCUGAGGCGUGAUGACGAGGCACUACGGUGCUGAAGCAACAAAUGCCCUGCUUCCAGGAAAAGCCUCUAAGCAUCAGGUAACAUCAAAUCGUACCCCAAACCGACACAGGUGGUCAGGUAGAGAAUACCAAGGCGCUUGAGAGAACUCGGGUGAAGGAACUAGGCAAAAUGGUGCCGUAACUUCGGGAGAAGGCACGCUGAUAUGUAGGUGAAGUCCCUCGCGGAUGGAGCUGAAAUCAGUCGAAGAUACCAGCUGGCUGCAACUGUUUAUUAAAAACACAGCACUGUGCAAACACGAAAGUGGACGUAUACGGUGUGACGCCUGCCCGGUGCCGGAAGGUUAAUUGAUGGGGUCAGCGCAAGCGAAGCUCUUGAUCGAAGCCCCGGUAAACGGCGGCCGUAACUAUAACGGUCCUAAGGUAGCGAAAUUCCUUGUCGGGUAAGUUCCGACCUGCACGAAUGGCGUAAUGAUGGCCAGGCUGUCUCCACCCGAGACUCAGUGAAAUUGAACUCGCUGUGAAGAUGCAGUGUACCCGCGGCAAGACGGAAAGACCCCGUGAACCUUUACUAUAGCUUGACACUGAACAUUGAGCCUUGAUGUGUAGGAUAGGUGGGAGGCUUUGAAGUGUGGACGCCAGUCUGCAUGGAGCCGACCUUGAAAUACCACCCUUUAAUGUUUGAUGUUCUAACGUUGACCCGUGAUCCGGGUUGCGGACAGUGUCUGGUGGGUAGUUUGACUGGGGCGGUCUCCUCCUAAAGAGUAACGGAGGAGCACGAAGGUUGGCUAAUCCUGGUCGGACAUCAGGAGGUUAGUGCAAUGGCAUAAGCCAGCUUGACUGCGAGCGUGACGGCGCGAGCAGGUGCGAAAGCAGGUCAUAGUGAUCCGGUGGUUCUGAAUGGAAGGGCCAUCGCUCAACGGAUAAAAGGUACUCCGGGGAUAACAGGCUGAUACCGCCCAAGAGUUCAUAUCGACGGCGGUGUUUGGCACCUCGAUGUCGGCUCAUCACAUCCUGGGGCUGAAGUAGGUCCCAAGGGUAUGGCUGUUCGCCAUUUAAAGUGGUACGCGAGCUGGGUUUAGAACGUCGUGAGACAGUUCGGUCCCUAUCUGCCGUGGGCGCUGGAGAAUUGAGGGGGGCUGCUCCUAGUACGAGAGGACCGGAGUGGACGCAUCACUGGUGUUCGGGUUGUCAUGCCAAUGGCACUGCCCGGUAGCUAAAUGCGGAAGAGAUAAGUGCUGAAAGCAUCUAAGCACGAAACUUGCCCCGAGAUGAGUUCUCCCUGACUCCUUGAGAGUCCUGAAGGAACGUUGAAGACGACGACGUUGAUAGGCCGGGUGUGUAAGCGCAGCGAUGCGUUGAGCUAACCGGUACUAAUGAACCGUGAGGCUUAACCUU